UGCCAGCCGCCGCGGUAAUACGGAGGGGGUUAGCGUUGUUCGGAAUUACUGGGCGUAAAGCGCACGUAGGCGGAUUAGAAAGUUAGAGGUGAAAUCCCGGGGCUCAACCCCGGAACUGCCUUUAAAACUACUAAGCUAGAGUGCGAGAGAGGAGAGUAGAAUUUCUGGUGUAGCGGUGAAAUGCGUAGAUAUCAGAAGGAAUACCAAUGGCGAAGGCAGCUCUCUGGCUCGUCACUGACGCUGAGGUGCGAAAGCGUGGGUAGCAAACAGGAUUAGAUA
This 279-nucleotide ribosomal RNA is filed under the name uncultured bacterium. RNAcentral's name for it is "partial 16S ribosomal RNA". It matches the Rfam family "Bacterial small subunit ribosomal RNA", at positions 506 to 784 of the family's 1533-position model. The record is from RNAcentral.